RNAcentral lists this ribosomal RNA (664 nucleotides) under uncultured Acidobacteriota bacterium. RNAcentral describes it as "bacterial SSU rRNA". It matches the Rfam family "Bacterial small subunit ribosomal RNA", at positions 28 to 671 of the family's 1533-position model. The record is from RNAcentral. Lineage: Bacteria; Pseudomonadati; Acidobacteriota.
AAUCGACGCUGGCGGCGUGCCUAACACAUGCAAGUCGUGCGCGAAAGGGGCUUCGGCCCUGAGUAGAGCGGCAAACGGGUGAGUAACACGUGGGUGACCUGCCUUCGAGUGGGGGAUAACGUCCCGAAAGGGACGCUAAUACCGCAUGACAUCCUGCCUUUGGACAGGCGGAGAUCAAAGCCGGGGAUCGCAAGACCUGGCGCUUGAAGAGGGGCCCGCGCCUGAUUAGCUAGUUGGUGAGGUAACGGCUCACCAAGGCAACGAUCAGUAGCCGGCCUGAGAGGGCGGACGGCCACACUGGGACUGAGACACGGCCCAGACUCCUACGGGAGGCAGCAGUGGGGAAUUGUUCGCAAUGGGCGCAAGCCUGACGACGCAACGCCGCGUGGAGGACGAAGAUCUUCGGGUCGUAAACUCCUGUCGAGCGGGAAGAACACCUGCCGGGCGAAUAUCCCGGAAGGUUGACGGUACUGCUAAAGGAAGCCCCGGCUAACUCCGUGCCAGCAGCCGCGGUAAUACGGGGGGGGCAAGCGUUGUUCGGAAUUACUGGGCGUAAAGGGCUCGUAGGCGGCCAACUAAGUCAGACGUGAAAUCCCCAGGCUCAACCUGUAAACUGCGUCUGAUACUGGAUGGCUUGAAUUCGGGAGAGGGAUGCAGAAUUCCA